Long non-coding RNA from Symphalangus syndactylus (siamang), 2570 nucleotides. RefSeq lists it as uncharacterized. The record is from RefSeq and is a predicted model, not a curated record. NCBI's taxonomy places the organism in Eukaryota, Metazoa, Chordata, Mammalia, Primates, Hylobatidae.
CGAAGGGCCGCCUUGCCCAAACUCAUCGGGGUGUCUGGCUACUAGGUCAGAAGAGGGGGGAUGGUGUUGUGAACAGCCAGCAAUCCCGGCCCUGCCUGAGUCCCACACCCCAGAUAGAGCUGGGGUGAGGGAGGUGAUCCCGUAAUAUUCUCAGCUGGGUGCAUUUGUGGCUGCCUGUGACACGACCUCACUCAUUGGGAAACCAUGCACACUAGCACACUGUUAUUUUAUUUUUGAGACAGGGUCUUGCUCUGUUGCCUAGGCUGGAGUGCAGUGGCGCAAUCACAGCUAACUGCAGCCUCGACCUCUUGGGCUCAAGCGAUUCUUCCUGCACCACCACACUUCAGCUAAUUUUUUUUGUUUGUUUUUUUCAUAGAGAUGGUUGAACUCCUCGCCUUGGUCUUGGGACUACAGGUGCAAGCCACAGAGCGCCUGGCCUAGCACAAUAGUUUAUAUUAUACUACUCCCACCAUAAUGGUGCAAUAGAUGUGAAUAAAACUCAAAAGCAUAGACAAGGCCAGGCGCGGUGGCUCAUGCCUGUAAUGCCAGCACUUUGGAAGGCCAAGCUGGAUCACAUGAGGUCAGGAGUUUGAGACCAGCCUGGCCAACAUGGUGAAACCCCGUCUCUACCAAAAAUACAAAAAUUAGCCAGGUGUGGUGGCACACAUCUGUAAUCCCAGCUACUUGAGAGGCUGAGGCAGGAGAAUCACGUGAACCGGGAGGCAGAGGUUGCAGUGAGCCGAGAUCGAACCACUGCACUCCAGCCUGGAUGACAGAGCAAGACUCUGUCUCAAAAAAAAAAAAAAAAAAAAAAAAGAUAGACAAUAGUUCGAUGUAACGAAAUAAUUACAAAGUGAUGAGUUUGUAGUAUUUAUUGCCCAUUUUAAACCGAAUUUAUUUAAUUAUAAGUUUACUUAGUUUAAAAUUUAAUAGUGGCUGUGUUUAACCAUCGACCUGUGAAAUUCCUGCAAAUGCAACCAUCAGUGGGUACUGGCCGGCUCAGCUCACUCCUGGCGGAAGGGCAUGGAGAGGCCUGCAGAGGCCGUGCCUUGAGCUUGUCUGGAACCUCCACCCUGUGCAGGAAGGAGGGUGAGCAAUGGGUGGGUGCUGGGAGAAUGCUGGGAGGGCCUGAGGGCACUGGGGGGUGCUAGGCAGAGGCACCCUUCCCUGCCCCCACUUGCCUCAGCCCUUGCCUCAUGAAGUUCCAUGCUGCCUCUGGAGGGGUGAGGCUGGGAGGGGAAGGUAUGGUGGGGUGGGAGAAGCCCUGGUCCCCCACCCGCAGAAGAGAAGCAGGAGCCCUCGAUGAUCACAGCCCUGGGACACAGUGCCUCAGCUAAGGGUCAGGUACAUGCCGCUCUGGAGGACAGGCUGUACCCUUCGGAGACGCAUUGCAUUGGCAGCUGGUCUAGGAUGCCGGUCAGUCUGCAGUAAGGAGCUGCAAGGAAAAGACCUCCAGGAGAGGAGCCCUUUGGGGAUGGUGCCCCAGCCCACCCAUGUCCAGCGAGUGGGCAGGGCAGGUGGGGCUGCGGACCCCAGGCUCAAGAGCUUCUCACCGGCCGUCUUCGGAGGAGAAGCCAGCCCUGCCUCACCCCAGGACUACGCACUCCUGCCCACUGUGCAAAUGUGAUGAAGCCUGCAGCAGCUGCAGCCAGGAACUGACGGGUCGGGCCAGUGCCCCAUUCGCCUGGGACAGCUGGGCUCCCACCCCAGGCUCCCUGCUCCCACCAGGGACUUCCCACAGCAAGGACCACCUUCCUCCUCUGAGCCAGCCAGGCGGCCACUGGCCCAGUCUGGCUGGGGACAGGGCCCUGGGUGGUCUCUGUCCCCACCCUGCCCGUUCCUUCUCUCGGGCUGAGCCCAGUGCUGGGGUCAAGGAUGGGGAAUGGGUGCUCUUGAACUGCUGACUCACUGAUCCCAAUCAACAGGAGUCUGCAGGGGAAAGGUGAGCCCUUCCCACCUGGGGAAGGCAUGUCUUACUCUCCAAGCAGGCGUUUCGUGGCACCAGGCAGAUGCUUGGGCAUUUGCCAUAGUGUAACUAUUCAGAACAGUUGCUCUCAGUUGAACAAAUAUUUCCAGAACAUCCACUGAGGGGCAGGCCAGGUGAUGGGGCCAGGAUGAGUAAAACACCAUUCUCCAUCUCUGAGACCACACGAUCUGGCAGGCUAGACAGGGCUGAACACACCUUGGGUAUCAUGCGUGAGGACCACAGGACGGGAGAGGUCCUGAGCCAGCACCAGGCGCAUGGGUUAGGGUCCAGCCAUCAGCUGGAAGGGUCUCCUGUGGAGGUAAUAACAGGGGCUUGAAGAGUGAGCCGAGGGGGCUGGCACUAGCAAUGCCAGAGCAAUGAGGGGCAGGCCGUGGGGAGAGGGACGCAGUUCAUCCUGCCAAGAGUGAGUUGCAAAGCAGGGGCCAGGGUAGAUGUGGGGGAGUUGUGGGCAAGGUGGGCCAGGACCUUGGGGAGCAGCCACAGUCCUGUGGGGGCGCUGUCUGGGAGCCCUUGGUGAGGGCAGAGCUGAGCAGCAGCAGGGCUUGCAGAAGAGACCUGGAGGGCGAUGUCAUAGGAGCCUGGG